GAAAAGAAACCAACAGGGAUUGCCCUAGUAACGGCGAGUGAAGCGGCAACAGCUCAAAUUUGAAAUCUGGCCCUCGGGUCCGAGUUGUAAUUUGUAGAGGAUGCUUUUGGUGCGGUGCCUUCCGAGUUCCCUGGAACGGGACGCCAUAGAGGGUGAGAGCCCCGUCUGGUUGGAUACCAAUCCUCUGUAAAGCUCCUUCGACGAGUCGAGUAGUUUGGGAAUGCUGCUCUAAAUGGGAGGUAUAUGUCUUCUAAAGCUAAAUACCGGCCAGAGACCGAUAGCGCACAAGUAGAGUGAUCGAAAGAUGAAAAGCACUUUGAAAAGAGGGUUAAACAGUACGUGAAAUUGUUGAAAGGGAAGCGCUUGUGACCAGACUUGGGCCCGGUUAAUCAUCCAGUGUUCUCACUGGUGCACUUGGCCGGCCCAGGCCAGCAUCAGUUCGGCGCGGGGGAUAAAGGCUUCGGGAAUGUGGCUCCUCCGGGAGUGUUAUAGCCCGUUGUGUAAUACCCUGCGCUGGACUGAGGUUCGCGCAUCUGCAAGGAUGCUGGCGUAAUGGUCAUC
Molecule: ribosomal RNA, 561 nt
Filed under: Fusicolla acetilerea
Lineage: Eukaryota; Fungi; Ascomycota; Sordariomycetes; Hypocreales; Nectriaceae
Description: partial 28S ribosomal RNA
Rfam family: Eukaryotic large subunit ribosomal RNA
Source: RNAcentral